This 504-nucleotide ribosomal RNA is filed under the name uncultured bacterium. RNAcentral's name for it is "partial 16S ribosomal RNA". It matches the Rfam family "Bacterial small subunit ribosomal RNA", at positions 28 to 506 of the family's 1533-position model. The record is from RNAcentral.
GACGAACGCUGGCGGCGUGCCUAAUACAUGCAAGUCGAACGCACAGUUUAUACCGUAGCUUGCUACACCAUAGACUGUGAGUUGCGAACGGGUGAGUAACGCGUAGGUAACCUGCCUGGUAGCGGGGGGUAACUAUUGGUAACGAUAGCUAAUACCGCAUAAUAUUGAUUAUUGCAUGAUAAUUGAUUGAAAGAUGCUAUUGCAUCACUACCAGAUGGACCUGCGUUGUAUUAGCUAGUAGGUGAGGUAACGGCUCACCUAGGCGACGAUACAUAGCCGACCUGAGAGGGUGAUCGGCCACACUGGGACUGAGACACGGCCCAGACUCCUACGGGAGGCAGCAGUAGGGAAUCUUCGGCAAUGGGCGAAAGUCUGACCGAGCAACGCCGCGUGAGUGAAGAAGGUUUUCGGAUCGUAAAGCUCUGUUGUAAGGGAAGAACGGGUGUGAGAGUGGAAAGUUCACACUGUGACGGUAUCGGACCAGAAAAGGACGGCGAACUACGU